Molecule: ribosomal RNA, 505 nt
Filed under: Streptomyces youssoufiensis
Lineage: Bacteria; Bacillati; Actinomycetota; Actinomycetes; Kitasatosporales; Streptomycetaceae
Description: bacterial SSU rRNA
Rfam family: Bacterial small subunit ribosomal RNA
Source: RNAcentral
AGGGAUGACGGCCUUCGGGUUGUAAACCUCUUUUAACAGGGAAGAAGCGAGAGUGACGGUACCUGCAGAAGAAGCUCCGGCUAACUACGUGCCAGCAGCCGCGGUAAUACGUAGGGCGCGAGCGUUGUCCGGAAUUAUUGGGCGUAAAGAGCUCGUAGGCGGCUUGUCACGUCGGAUGUGAAAGCCCGGGGCUUAACCCCGGGUCUGCAUUCGAUACGGGCAGGCUAGAGUUCGGYAGGGGAGAUCGGAAUUCCUGGUGUAGCGGUGAAAUGCGCAGAUAUCAGGAGGAACACCGGUGGCGAAGGCGGAUCUCUGGGYCGAUACUGACGCUGAGGAGCGAAAGCGUGGGGAGCGAACAGGAUUAGAUACCCUGGUAGUCCACGCCGUAAACGUUGGGAACUAGGUGUGGGCGACUUUCCACGUCAUCCGUGCCGCAGCUAACGCAUUAAGUUCCCCGCCUGGGGAGUACGGCCGCAAGGCUAAAACUCAGAUGAUUUGACGGGGG